AAAUAAAUGAAAAUUCAUGCUUGACUAAUUCGAUUCUUACGAGUACACACACGACUCCCUAAGGGUUCUUGACGAUGGGAUAAAGGGUUUCUUUUGCAGUCAGAAGGCACCCGUUAAUUUGAAUCCACUUUCCAUUUUUU
Molecule: non-coding RNA, 140 nt
Organism: Caenorhabditis elegans
Lineage: Eukaryota; Metazoa; Nematoda; Chromadorea; Rhabditida; Rhabditidae
Source: Ensembl